Molecule: ribosomal RNA, 301 nt
Filed under: uncultured bacterium
Lineage: Bacteria
Description: partial 16S ribosomal RNA
Rfam family: Bacterial small subunit ribosomal RNA
Source: RNAcentral
CAGUAGCCACGGGAAUACAGAGGGUGCGAGCGUUAAUUGGAUUUACUGGGCGUAAAGCGUGCGUAGGCGGCUUCUUAAGUCGGAUGUGAAAUCCCUGAGCUUAACUUAGGAAUUGCAUUCGAUACUGGGAAGCUAGAGUAUGGGAGAGGAUGGUAGAAUUCCAGGUGUAGCGGUGAAAUGCGUAGAGAUCUGGAGGAAUACCGAUGGCGAAGGCAGCCAUCUGGCCUAAUACUGACGCUGAGGUACGAAAGCAUGGGGAGCAAACAGGAUUAGAUACCCCCGUAGUCCCUGUCUCUUAUAC